Molecule: ribosomal RNA, 488 nt
Filed under: uncultured bacterium
Lineage: Bacteria
Description: partial 16S ribosomal RNA
Rfam family: Bacterial small subunit ribosomal RNA
Source: RNAcentral
UGAACGCUGGCGGCAGGCCUAACACAUGCAAGUCGAACGGUAACAGGAAGCAGCUUGCUGCUUUGCUGACGAGUGGCGGACGGGUGAGUAAUGUCUGGGAAACUGCCCGAUGGAGGGGGAUAACUACUGGAAACGGUAGCUAAUACCGCAUAACGUCGCAAGACCAAAGAGGGGGACCUUAGGGCCUCUUGCCAUCGGAUGUGCCCAGAUGGGAUUAGCUAGUAGGUGGGGUAACGGCUCACCUAGGCGACGAUCCCUAGCUGGUCUGAGAGGAUGACCAGCCACACUGGAACUGAGACACGGUCCAGACUCCUACGGGAGGCAGCAGUGGGGAAUAUUGCACAAUGGGCGCAAGCCUGAUGCAGCCAUGCCGCGUGUAUGAAGAAGGCCUUCGGGUUGUAAAGUACUUUCAGCGGGGAGGAAGGGAGUAAAGUUAAUACCUUUGCUCAUUGACGUUACCCGCAGAAGAAGCACCGGCUAACUCCGUG